AUUCCAGCUCCAAUAGCGUAUAUUAAAGUUGUUGCAGUUAAAAAGCUCGUAGUUGAACUUCGGAACCGGUCGAUUGGUCCGUCCUCUGGAUUGUGUACUGAUCGAUCUGUUCUUCUUCGCGAAGACCGCGUGUGCCCUUAACUGGGUGUGCACGGGAUUCACGACGUUUACUUUGAAAAAAUUAGAGUGUUCAAAGCAGGCAUUCGCUUGAAUAUCUCAGCAUGGAAUAAUAGAAUAGGACUUUGGUCUUAUUUUGUUGGUUUCCGAGACCGAAGUAAUGAUUAAUAGGACAGUUGGGGGUAUUCGUAUUCCGUUGUCAGAGGUGAAAUUCUUGGAUUUACGGAAGACGAACUACUGCGAAAGCAUUUACCAAGGAUGUUUUCAUCA
This 387-nucleotide ribosomal RNA is filed under the name Ctenophora sp. (in: diatoms). Its description in RNAcentral is "Ctenophora sp. (in: Bacillariophyta) partial small subunit ribosomal RNA". It matches the Rfam family "Eukaryotic small subunit ribosomal RNA", at positions 582 to 975 of the family's 1831-position model. Lineage: Eukaryota; Bacillariophyta; Fragilariophyceae; Fragilariales; Fragilariaceae. The record is from RNAcentral.